Molecule: long non-coding RNA, 392 nt
Organism: Camponotus floridanus (Florida carpenter ant)
Lineage: Eukaryota; Metazoa; Arthropoda; Insecta; Hymenoptera; Formicidae
Exons: 3
Source: RefSeq, a predicted model, not a curated record
UUCAACAAGUAAUUAUAUCUUAAUCUAUUAUAAUUUCAACAUAAUAAGACGAAAAUCUUGAACAGUUUGAACGGACUUUUUCGAAACAUCAAUUAUGAUAAAAAACCUAACAAAAAAACUGACGAUUUAAUUGACUGCUUAAAACAAGAAGCUAAUAAAUGGGCAUGUAUUCUCGGUGCGUCAAAUUGCAUGAAAACAGCCGAAAUCAAAUUGCAUCAAUAUCUCACGAAAACUAAAAAAAACAGACUUUUACCUUGGUGGAGAGAUUGGACGUUCUGUAACGAUUUAAUGAGAGCUAGCAGUAGUAUUUGGAACAAAGUAUGGAAUAUACAUAUUAAGAAUCCUAACGUAAUCACUUCGAAAUCCCUUGCUUGUUCCCGUGAUUCUGUUGU